Molecule: ribosomal RNA, 482 nt
Filed under: uncultured bacterium
Lineage: Bacteria
Description: partial 16S ribosomal RNA
Rfam family: Bacterial small subunit ribosomal RNA
Source: RNAcentral
AUUGAACGCUGGCGGCAUGCCUUACACAUGCAAGUCGAACGGUAACAGGUCUUCGGGUGCUGACGAUUUGCGCACGGGUGAGUAAUACAUCGGAACGUGCCCAUACGUGGGGGAUAACGAGGCGAAAGCUUUACUAAUACCACAUACGAUCUAAGGAUGAAAGCAGGGGGCCGCAAGGCCUAGUACGGUUGGAGCGGCCGAUGGAAGAUUAGGUAGUUGGUGUGAUAAAAGCUUACCAAGACGACGAUAUGUAGCUGGUCUGAGAGGACGACCCGCCACACUGGAACUGAGACACGGCCCAGACUCCUACGGGAGGCAGCAGUGGGGAAUUUUGGACAAAGGGCGAAAGCCUGAUCCAGCAAUGCCGCGUGAAGGAUGAAGGCCUUCGGGUUGUAAAAUGCUUUUGUUCGGAACGAAAAGGCUCUGGCUAAUACCUGGGGAACAUGACGGUACCGAAAGAAUAAGCACCGGCUAACUACGUG